RNAcentral lists this ribosomal RNA (1423 nucleotides) under Klebsiella pneumoniae KP4-R. RNAcentral's name for it is "bacterial LSU rRNA". It matches the Rfam family "Bacterial large subunit ribosomal RNA", at positions 1527 to 2925 of the family's 2925-position model. Lineage: Bacteria; Pseudomonadati; Pseudomonadota; Gammaproteobacteria; Enterobacterales; Enterobacteriaceae. The record is from RNAcentral.
AUUGUCCAGGCAAAUCCGGAUAAUCAAGGCUGAGGUGUGAUGACGAGGCACUACGGUGCUGAAGUAACAAAUGCCCUGCUUCCAGGAAAAGCCUCUAAGCAUCAGGUAACAUCAAAUCGUACCCCAAACCGACACAGGUGGUCAGGUAGAGAAUACCAAGGCGCUUGAGAGAACUCGGGUGAAGGAACUAGGCAAAAUGGUGCCGUAACUUCGGGAGAAGGCACGCUGGUGUGUAGGUGAAGUCCCUGCGGAUGGAGCUGAGACCAGUCGAAGAUACCAGCUGGCUGCAACUGUUUAUUAAAAACACAGCACUGUGCAAACACGAAAGUGGACGUAUACGGUGUGACGCCUGCCCGGUGCCGGAAGGUUAAUUGAUGGGGUUAUCCGUAAGGAGAAGCUCUUGAUCGAAGCCCCGGUAAACGGCGGCCGUAACUAUAACGGUCCUAAGGUAGCGAAAUUCCUUGUCGGGUAAGUUCCGACCUGCACGAAUGGCGUAAUGAUGGCCAGGCUGUCUCCACCCGAGACUCAGUGAAAUUGAACUCGCUGUGAAGAUGCAGUGUACCCGCGGCAAGACGGAAAGACCCCGUGAACCUUUACUAUAGCUUGACACUGAACAUUGAGCCUUGAUGUGUAGGAUAGGUGGGAGGCUUUGAAGCGUGGACGCCAGUCUGCGUGGAGCCAACCUUGAAAUACCACCCUUUAAUGUUUGAUGUUCUAACGUUGGCCCCUGACCGGGGUUGCGGACAGUGUCUGGUGGGUAGUUUGACUGGGGCGGUCUCCUCCCAAAGCGUAACGGAGGAGCACGAAGGUUAGCUAAUCCUGGUCGGACAUCAGGAGGUUAGUGCAAUGGCAUAAGCUAGCUUGACUGCGAGCGUGACGGCGCGAGCAGGUGCGAAAGCAGGUCAUAGUGAUCCGGUGGUUCUGAAUGGAAGGGCCAUCGCUCAACGGAUAAAAGGUACUCCGGGGAUAACAGGCUGAUACCGCCCAAGAGUUCAUAUCGACGGCGGUGUUUGGCACCUCGAUGUCGGCUCAUCACAUCCUGGGGCUGAAGUAGGUCCCAAGGGUAUGGCUGUUCGCCAUUUAAAGUGGUACGCGAGCUGGGUUUAGAACGUCGUGAGACAGUUCGGUCCCUAUCUGCCGUGGGCGCUGGAGAAUUGAGGGGGGCUGCUCCUAGUACGAGAGGACCGGAGUGGACGCAUCACUGGUGUUCGGGUUGUCAUGCCAAUGGCACUGCCCGGUAGCUAAAUGCGGAAGAGAUAAGUGCUGAAAGCAUCUAAGCACGAAACUUGCCCCGAGAUGAGUUCUCCCUGAGACUUUAAGUCUCCUGAAGGAACGUUAAAGACGAUGACGUUGAUAGGCCGGGUGUGUAAGCGCAGCGAUGCGUUGAGCUAACCGGUACUAAUGAACCGUGAGGCUUAACCUU